RNAcentral lists this long non-coding RNA (1090 nucleotides) under Brassica napus (rape). RNAcentral's name for it is "long non-coding RNA (BNAP_LNC017887)". The record is from RNAcentral. Lineage: Eukaryota; Viridiplantae; Streptophyta; Magnoliopsida; Brassicales; Brassicaceae.
UAGCCCCUACCUUCACCAUACCCCAUAGGCUUAACUGUUUGGUCAGGAUCUUCUGGUUCACUCGCCAGGGACUGCACUUUAUGAUCAGGCUUUUCUUUGUGAUCGAGCAUAGUUUUAGGAUCAGGUUCUUCUAGCUCACCCCACAUGGGUUGCAGUUCAUGAUCAGGCAUGACCUUGUCCUCAGGCUCCUCUGGUUCACCUGGCAUGGACCGCAGCAUAUGGUCAGGCAUGAUCUUGUCCUCAGGCUCCUCUGGUUCACCCGGCAUGGACCGCAGCAUAUGAUCAGGCAUGAUCUUGUCCUCAGGCUCCUCUGGUUCACCUGGCAUGGAGUGCAUUUUGCGAUCAGGCAUGAUCUUGUCCUCAGGCUCUUCCGGUUCACCCGGCAUGGACUGGAGUCUAUGAUCAGGCAUGAUCUUGUCCUCAGGCUCCUCUGGUUCACCCGGCAUGGACCGCAGCAUAUGAUCAGGCAUGAUCUUGUCCUCAGGCUCCUCUGGUUCACCUGGCAUGGAUUGCAUUUUGCGAUCAGGCAUGAUCUUGUCAUCAGGCUCUUCCGGUUCACCCGGCAUGGACUGGAGUUUAUAAUCAGGCAUGAUCUUGUCCUCAGGUUCUUCUGGUUCACCCGGCAUGGACUGGAGUUUAUGAUCAGGCAUGAUCUUGUCCUCAGGCUCCUCUGGUUCACCCGGCAUGGACUGCAGCAUAUGGUCAGGCAUGAUCUUGUCCUCAGGCUCUUCUGGUUCACCCGGCAUCGACUGGAGUUUAUGAUCAGGCAUGAUCUUGUCCUCAGGCUCCUCUGGUUCACCCGGCAUGGAUUGCAUUUUGCAAUCAGGCAUGAUCUUGUCCUCAGGCUCUUCCGGUUCACCCGGCAUGGACUGCAGCUUAUGGUCAGGCUUCACUUUGUGCUCAGAUUCUACAUUGAACAUCUCAUGAUCUUGCACGCUCAAACUAACCAUCCCAGGCUUCACAACAUGGUUCAUCUCUAGCUUUCUUGCCUCCAUCAUUGAGAGAUCCUUGAGAACCCUGCGUGCCAAAGUUGAACUAAAGAAGCAUAGUAAGAGAACGAAUCCAAAGCAUCUGCCUUGGUGUCCCUUUG